This 32-nucleotide non-coding RNA is filed under the name Prorocentrum micans. The record is from RNAcentral. Lineage: Eukaryota; Dinophyceae; Prorocentrales; Prorocentraceae.
UUUUUUUUUUUUUUUUUUUUUUUUUUUUUCAA